RNAcentral lists this unclassified non-coding RNA (275 nucleotides) under plant metagenome. RNAcentral describes it as "partial contains small subunit ribosomal RNA, internal transcribed spacer 1, and 5.8S ribosomal RNA". The stretch from base 1 to 54 matches the Rfam family "Eukaryotic small subunit ribosomal RNA", at positions 1778 to 1831 of the family's 1831-position model. The record is from RNAcentral.
GGAAGUAAAAGUCGAAACUAGGUUUCCGUAGGUGAACCUGCGGAAGGAUCAUUAACGAGUUAGGGUCUUUUAGGCCCGACCUCCCAACCCUAUGUUUAUUGAACCUCUGUUGCUUCGGCGGACCCGUCUCACGGCCGCCGGAGGACCGCUGCGAGGCGUCCUCUGGCCAGCGUCCGCCGAUGGCCAACCCACUAAACUCUGAAUGAAUCGUGUCAUAUGUCUGAGUCUAUGAUUAAAUUAAAGCAAAACUUCCAACAACGGAUCUCUUGGUUCUG